CGGGUGAGUAACACAUAUCCAACCUGCCGUCUACUCUUGGACAGCCUUCUGAAAGGAAGAUUAAUACAAGAUGGCAUCAUGAGUCCGCAUGUUCACAUGAUUAAAGGUAUUCCGGUAGACGAUGGGGAUGCGUUCCAUUAGAUAGUAGGCGGGGUAACGGCCCACCUAGUCUUCGAUGGAUAGGGGUUCUGAGAGGAAGGUCCCCCACAUUGGAACUGAGACACGGUCCAA
This 231-nucleotide ribosomal RNA is filed under the name uncultured bacterium. RNAcentral's name for it is "partial 16S ribosomal RNA". It matches the Rfam family "Bacterial small subunit ribosomal RNA", at positions 103 to 334 of the family's 1533-position model. The record is from RNAcentral.